RNAcentral lists this transfer RNA (77 nucleotides) under Paenibacillus larvae. RNAcentral's name for it is "tRNA-Ile". It matches the Rfam family "tRNA". From Rfam's summary of the family: Transfer RNA (tRNA) molecules are approximately 80 nucleotides in length. Their secondary structure includes four short double-helical elements and three loops (D, anti-codon, and T loops). The record is from RNAcentral. Lineage: Bacteria; Bacillati; Bacillota; Bacilli; Caryophanales; Paenibacillaceae.
GAGCCCUUAGCUCAGUUGGUUAGAGCGCACCCCUGAUAAGGGUGAGGUCGGUGGUUCGAGUCCACUGGGGCCCACCA